This 349-nucleotide ribosomal RNA is filed under the name uncultured Ehrlichia sp. Its description in RNAcentral is "bacterial SSU rRNA". It matches the Rfam family "Bacterial small subunit ribosomal RNA", at positions 87 to 453 of the family's 1533-position model. Lineage: Bacteria; Pseudomonadati; Pseudomonadota; Alphaproteobacteria; Rickettsiales; Anaplasmataceae. The record is from RNAcentral.
AAUUGUUAGUGGCAGACGGGUGAGUAAUGCGUAGGAAUCUACCUAGUAGUACGGAAUAGCCAUUAGAAAUGGUGGGUAAUACUGUAUAAUCCCCGAGGGGGAAAGAUUUAUCGCUAUUAGAUGAGCCUACGUUAGAUUAGCUAGUUGGUGAGGUAAUGGCUUACCAAGGCUAUGAUCUAUAGCUGGUCUGAGAGGACGAUCAGCCACACUGGAACUGAGAUACGGUCCAGACUCCUACGGGAGGCAGCAGUGGGGAAUAUUGGACAAUGGGCGAAAGCCUGAUCCAGCUAUGCCGCGUGAGUGAAGAAGGCCUUCGGGUUGUAAAACUCUUUCAAUAGGGAAGAUAAUG